GAUUAACGCUGGCGGCGUGCCUAACACAUGCAAGUCGAGCGGCAGCGAGUUUUACACUGAAUUCUGGAAGCUUCUAGUUGAAAGAGAAGAUUUAUUCAAGAAUUUUGUGUAAAAUGUCGGCGAGCGGCGGACGGCUGAGUAACGCGUGGGAACGUACUCCAAAGUGAGGGAUAACGCAUCGAAAGGUGUGCUAAUACCGCAUAUGGUCUUCGGAUUAAAGCCUUCGGGCGCUUUGGGAACGGCCUGCGUAAGAUUAGAUAGUUGGUGGGGUAAUGGCCUACCAAGUCGACGAUCUUUAACUGGUUUGAGAGGAUGAUCAGUCAGACUGGAACUGAGACACGGUCCAGACUCCUACGGGAGGCAGCAGUGAGGAAUCUUCCACAAUGGGCGAAAGCCUGAUGGAGCAACGCCGCGUGCAGGAUGAAGGCCUUCGGGUUGUAAACUGCUUUUAUAAGUGAGGAUUAUGACAGUAACUUAUGAAUAAGGAUCGGCUAACUACGUG
RNAcentral lists this ribosomal RNA (502 nucleotides) under uncultured bacterium. RNAcentral describes it as "partial 16S ribosomal RNA". It matches the Rfam family "Bacterial small subunit ribosomal RNA", at positions 28 to 507 of the family's 1533-position model. The record is from RNAcentral.